GACGAACGCUGGCGGCGUGCUUAACACAUGCAAGUCGAACGGAAAGGCCCUGCUUUUGUGGGGUGCUCGAGUGGCGAACGGGUGAGUAACACGUGAGUAACCUGCCCUUGACUUUGGGAUAACUUCAGGAAACUGGGGCUAAUACCGGAUAGGAGCUCCUGCUGCAUGGUGGGGGUUGGAAAGUUUCGGCGGUUGGGGAUGGACUCGCGGCUUAUCAGCUUGUUGGUGGGGUAGUGGCUUACCAAGGCUUUGACGGGUAGCCGGCCUGAGAGGGUGACCGGCCAAAUUGGGACUGAGAUACGGCCCAGAAUGCUACGGGAGGCAGCAGUGGGGAAUAUUGCACAAUGGGCGGAAGCCUGAUGCAGCAACGCCGCGUGCGGGAUGACGGCCUUCGGGUUGUAAACCGCUUUCGCCUGUGACGAAGCGUGAGUGACGGUAAUGGGUAAAGAAGCACCGGCUAACUACGUG
Molecule: ribosomal RNA, 468 nt
Filed under: uncultured bacterium
Lineage: Bacteria
Description: partial 16S ribosomal RNA
Rfam family: Bacterial small subunit ribosomal RNA
Source: RNAcentral